This 1969-nucleotide ribosomal RNA is filed under the name Bacteroides uniformis. Its description in RNAcentral is "partial 23S ribosomal RNA". It matches the Rfam family "Bacterial large subunit ribosomal RNA", at positions 1 to 1961 of the family's 2925-position model. The record is from RNAcentral. Lineage: Bacteria; Pseudomonadati; Bacteroidota; Bacteroidia; Bacteroidales; Bacteroidaceae.
CGGUUAAGUUAGAAAGGGCGCACGGUGGAUGCCUUGGCACUAGGAGCCGAUGAAGGACGGGACGAACACCGAUAUGCUUCGGGGAGCUGUAAGCAAGCUUUGAUCCGGAGAUUUCCGAAUGGGGAAACCCACCACUCGUAAUGGAGUGGUAUCCAUAUCUGAAUACAUAGGAUAUGAGAAGGCAGACCCGGGGAACUGAAACAUCUAAGUACCCGGAGGAAGAGAAAGCAAAUGCGAUUCCCUGAGUAGCGGCGAGCGAAACGGGACCAGCCCAAACCAAGAGGCUUGCCUCUUGGGGUUGUAGGACACUCUGUACGGAGUUACAAAGGAACGAGGUAGAUGAAGAGGUCUGGAAAGGCCCGCCAUAGAAGGUAACAGCCCUGUAGUCAAAACUUCGUUCUCUCCUGAGUGGAUCCUGAGUACGGCGGAACACGUGAAAUUCCGUCGGAAUCCGGGAGGACCAUCUCCCAAGGCUAAAUACUCCCUAGUGACCGAUAGUGAACCAGUACCGUGAGGGAAAGGUGAAAAGCACCCCGGAAGGGGAGUGAAAGAGAUCCUGAAACCGUGUGCCUACAAGUAGUCAGAGCCCGUUAACGGGUGAUGGCGUGCCUUUUGUAGAAUGAACCGGCGAGUUACGAUCCCGUGCAAGGUUAAGCAGAAGAUGCGGAGCCGCAGCGAAAGCGAGUCUGAAUAGGGCGAAUUGAGUACGUGGUCGUAGACCCGAAACCAGGUGAUCUACCCAUGUCCAGGGUGAAGUUCAGGUAACACUGAAUGGAGGCCCGAACCCACGCACGUUGAAAAGUGCGGGGAUGAGGUGUGGGUAGGGGUGAAAUGCCAAUCGAACCUGGAGAUAGCUGGUUCUCUCCGAAAUAGCUUUAGGGCUAGCCUCAAGGUAAGAGUCUCGGAGGUAGAGCACUGAUUGGACUAGGGGCCCCUACCGGGUUACCGAAUUCAGUCAAACUCCGAAUGCCGAUGACUUAUCCUUGGGAGUCAGACUGCGAGUGAUAAGAUCCGUAGUCGAAAGGGAAACAGCCCAGACCGCCAGCUAAGGUCCCAAAGUAUACGUUAAGUGGAAAAGGAUGUGGAGUUGCUUAGACAACCAGGAUGUUGGCUUAGAAGCAGCCACCAUUUAAAGAGUGCGUAAUAGCUCACUGGUCGAGUGACUCUGCGCCGAAAAUGUACCGGGGCUAAACGUAUCACCGAAGCUGCGGACUGUUCUUCGAACAGUGGUAGGAGAGCGUUCUAAGGGCUGUGAAGCAAGACCGGAAGGACUUGUGGAGCGCUUAGAAGUGAGAAUGCCGGUAUGAGUAGCGAAAGAGGGGUGAGAAUCCCCUCCACCGAAUGCCUAAGGUUUCCUGAGGAAGGCUCGUCCGCUCAGGGUUAGUCGGGACCUAAGCCGAGGCCGAAAGGCGUAGGCGAUGGAUAACAGGUUGAUAUUCCUGUACCACCUCCUCACCAUUUGAGCAAUGGGGGGACGCAGGAGGAUAGGGUAAGCGCGGUAUUGGAUAUCCGCGUCCAAGCAGUUAGGCUGGGAAAUAGGCAAAUCCGUUUCCCGUGAAGGCUGAGCUGUGAUGGCGAGCGAAUUAUAGUAGCGAAGUUCCUGAUUCCACACUGCCAAGAAAAGCCUCUAGCGAGGUGAGAGGUGCCCGUACCGCAAACCGACACAGGUAGGCGAGGAGAGAAUCCUAAGGCGAGCGAGAGAACUGUUGUUAAGGAACUCGGCAAAAUGACCCCGUAACUUAGGGAGAAGGGGUGCCACGUUAGGGUUAACGCCCGAGGUGGCCGCAGAGAAUAGGCCCAAGCGACUGUUUACCAAAAACACAGGUUUCUGCUAAGUCGCAAGACGAUGUAUAGGAGCUGACGCCUGCCCGGUGCUGGAAGGUUAAGGGGAUCUGUUAGGAUUUAUCCGAAGCAGUGAACUUAAGCCCCAGUAAACGGCGGCCGUAACUAUAACGGUCCUAAGGUAGCG